AUGUCAGAAGACUAUCGUCGUAGCAAUCCAUCCAAAGUUGCAGCUGAGCAAUUGGUUCUAAUAGAUAUCAGGAAUAUGCUACAAUCAAUGGGCAAGGAGAUAGAGUCAUUCCCUCUUCCCAAUAUCCAGGAAGAAUAUGACACUUCCAUCGGUGUGACAAGGGAGAUCUUCGAGGAAUCCACCAUAGAGCUCAAUGUUGAGGACACAUAUCUAUCAGAUUCACUUAAUUCAGAUCAGAGGGCCGCAUACGAUGAAAUUAUGUCUGCUAUUGAUUGUGAUGAGGGUGGUGUCUUCUUUGUGGAUGGGCCUGGAGGCACCGGAAAGACUUUUUUGUACAGAGCACUACUCGCAAUGGUACGUGGGCAGAAAAAAAUUGCUAUAGCGACAGCUACGUCCAGUGUUGCUGCUUCCAUAAUGCCAGGAGGGAGAACAGCUCAUUCACGGUUCAAGAUACCGUUAGGCAUUGAUGAUGGUGGGUUUUGUAGCUUUACAAAAUAG
Molecule: ribosomal RNA, 498 nt
Filed under: Triticum aestivum (bread wheat)
Lineage: Eukaryota; Viridiplantae; Streptophyta; Magnoliopsida; Poales; Poaceae
Description: partial small subunit ribosomal RNA
Source: RNAcentral